This 830-nucleotide ribosomal RNA is filed under the name uncultured Gemmatimonadota bacterium. RNAcentral's name for it is "bacterial SSU rRNA". It matches the Rfam family "Bacterial small subunit ribosomal RNA", at positions 86 to 916 of the family's 1533-position model. The record is from RNAcentral. Lineage: Bacteria; Pseudomonadati; Gemmatimonadota.
CAAGGGCAACCGGCGAACGGGUGCGUAACACGUGAGCAACCUACCGAAAUGUGGGGGAUAGCCGGCCUAACGGCCGAGUAAUACCGCAUACGCUCUCGAUGAGGCAUUUCAUUGAGAGGAAACCUACGGGACAUUUCGAGGGGCUCGCGGCCUAUCAGCUAGUUGGAGAGGUAACGGCUCACCAAGGCAACGACGGGUAGCUGGUCUGAGAGGAUGGCCAGCCACAUUGGGACUGAGAUACGGCCCAGACUCCUACGGGAGGCAGCAGUGGGGAAUCUUGCGCAAUGGCCUAACGGCUGACGCAGCGACGCCGCGUGUGGGAUGAAGCUCUUCGGAGUGUAAACCACUGUUGCCCGGGACGAAUAGCUCGAUUAAUCGAGCCUGACGGUACCGGGUGAGGAAGCACCGGCUAACUCCGUGCCAGCAGCCGCGGUAAUACGGGGGGUGCGAGCGUUGUCCGGAAUCACUGGGCGUAAAGGGCGCGUAGGUGGUUUGAUAAGGGUGUGGUGAAAGCCCGGAGCUCAACUCCGGGUCUGCCGUGCCGACUGUCAAACUCGAGGACUGUAGAGGCAGACGGAAUUCCGGGUGUAGCGGUGGAAUGCGUAGAGAUCCGGAGGAAGACCGGUGGCGAAGGCGGUCUGCUGGGCAGUUUCUGACACUGAGGCGCGACAGCGUGGGGAGCAAACAGGAUUAGAUACCCUGGUAGUCCACGCCGUAAACGAUGGGUACUAGGUGCCUGGGGGAGCGACCCUCUGGGUGCCGGCGCUAACGCAGGAAGUACCCCGCCUGGGGAGUACGACCGCAAGGUUGAAACUCAAAGGAAUUGACGG